RNAcentral lists this unclassified non-coding RNA (235 nucleotides) under plant metagenome. Its description in RNAcentral is "partial contains small subunit ribosomal RNA, internal transcribed spacer 1, and 5.8S ribosomal RNA". The record is from RNAcentral.
UUUCCGUAGGUGAACCUGCGGAAGGAUCAUUACCGAGUGAGGGCCCUCUGGGUCCAACCUCCCACCCGUGUUUAUUGUACCUUGUUGCUUCUGCGGGCCCGCCGCAAGUCCGCCGGUGGGCAUCUGCCCUCUGGCCCGCGCCCGCCGAAGACACCAUUGAACGCUGUCUGAAGAUUGCAGUCUGAGCCAUUAGUUAAAUAACUUAAAACUUUCAACAACGGAUCUCUUGGUUCCG